Molecule: long non-coding RNA, 1165 nt
Filed under: Brassica rapa (field mustard)
Lineage: Eukaryota; Viridiplantae; Streptophyta; Magnoliopsida; Brassicales; Brassicaceae
Description: long non-coding RNA (BRAP_LNC001818)
Source: RNAcentral
UCAUGAACAACACUUUAAGAGUCAUCUAAAUAAAGAUAAUAGAUAGACAAACCUAACGACAAGAGUUGGAAAAUUGACUCAAAACCCGCAGGUUAAACCUGCCACUGAGCAUGUUUGAAUCAAACAAUUUUAAAUAUUUGAAAUGCGCGUGCAUGUUGAUUUAUUUUAUGCGAGGCAAGUGUAGGACGGCCGGAUUUAAGUUAUGAUACUUGCCCAUCAGUAAACUAAAAACUUUCAAAAAUAUAUAUUGAAUUAUAAAUAUUACUAAAUUAUUUUUAUAAAUAUUGAUAUAACAUGAUAAUCCCACGAUUAUUUCCUUUAGUUUAGCAAAAAAAAAAACAUGAUAAUCCCACGAGUCAUCCACAGAAUUAAAUAGUGCGGGUGCAUGUAAUAUUAUUUUCUCUGCAGGUGAAAUGUCAUUUGUUUAAUCAAAAAAUAUUUCAAGCCGUACCGAGGCAAAUUAUACCCGAUUUCCACUACGAAAAGUCCUUUAGUAACAUACACACCCAUACAAAAAAAAAAUAUCUUCCUUUCAUCUUUACUCCUUCAAGUUGAUUAAAACCCCAUACGAAGACAUUUCCUGUCUGUGUUAAAAGCAAAAAAAAAAAAACAUUUCUUUCUUGUCUUCUCAACUUCUUUCAAGGACCUUGUUGUAUCCAUUGUUCUAGGGAUUCUUCACAUUUGCCCUUCAGGUAGGUUUAUGCCGUGUCUAUGCCUCAUACCUGAACAAAAUCCAUAGAUAUUGGCACCAAAAACUAUUAACUAAACUGAAAUUAGACAAUGUGUUGAUCAUAAUCGCUAAUAACAAAAUUUGUUUAGCAAACCUAACAUAUCAUAAGCCUUGGCUCUUCUCCAAAGACUUUUGCAUGCCUUAUUUACAGGAUUAUGAAAGCAAAAUGCGCGCGUGGCGUCCCUUAUAGCAACCAAAAGCUGUUGAAGGAAGGGGCUUUGAAAGGGCUUAGCAACCGAAAUAAUGGUGUGAAAUUGGAUAACUAUAUGGGCCUUUUUUUGUUGAGUCUAGAAUGGGCGUUUAUACAAGGACACUUAGCCCACGUAAUACCCACGGGAUACAAAUACGGACGUACUCGCGUAACGGCGAUUCAACUCGUUGAUCGAGGAGAUGCUGGUUCAGUGGUUUGUAAACAUAUAUUCUCGAAUAAUCUUG